GAGUUUGAUCCUGGCUCAGAUUGAACGCUGGCGGCAGGCCUAACACAUGCAAGUCGAGCGGAUGAGAGGAGCUUGCUCCUUGAUUCAGCGGCGGACGGGUGAGUAAUGCCUAGGAAUCUGCCUGAUAGUGGGGGACAACGUUUCGAAAGGAACGCUAAUACCGCAUACGUCCUACGGGAGAAAGCAGGGGACCUUCGGGCCUUGCGCUAUCAGAUGAGCCUAGGUCGGAUUAGCUAGUAGGUGGGGUAAUGGCUCACCUAGGCGACGAUCCGUAACUGGUCUGAGAGGAUGAUCAGUCACACUGGAACUGAGACACGGUCCAGACUCCUACGGGAGGCAGCAGUGGGGAAUAUUGGACAAUGGGCGAAAGCCUGAUCCAGCCAUGCCGCGUGUGUGAAGAAGGUCUUCGGAUUGUAAAAGCAC
RNAcentral lists this ribosomal RNA (423 nucleotides) under uncultured Gammaproteobacteria bacterium. RNAcentral describes it as "bacterial SSU rRNA". It matches the Rfam family "Bacterial small subunit ribosomal RNA", at positions 9 to 433 of the family's 1533-position model. Lineage: Bacteria; Pseudomonadati; Pseudomonadota; Gammaproteobacteria. The record is from RNAcentral.